AUGGUGAACUUUGGGAAGAAGUUGAUGGCAGAUCAAGUAGAAGAAUGGAAAGGGUACUAUAUUAAUUACAAAUUGAUGAAGAAAUUGUUAAAGCAAUACGUUCAACAGACCCAAAUUGGUGGCAAAGAUUGUGAGCAAGUUCUUAAGGAGUUCUCGAGGAUUCUUGAUGAUCAGAUUGAAAGGAUCGUGCUCUUUCUGCUGCAACAACAAGGCCACCUCUCUAGAAGGAUCGAGGAAUUGGGAGCACAGCGUGCUGCUAUUAUGCAACAGGUUGAUACAUCAAGAGUUUUCCAACUUCGUGAGGAUUACAGAGAAGUUGGAAGAGAUCUCGUAAAGCUUCUCCGCUUUGUUGACAUGAAUGCUACCGGUCUAAGGAAGAUACUGAAGAAAUUUGAUAAGCGGUUUGGCUAUAAGUUUACAGAUUAUUAUGUCACCACUCGUUCAAACCAUCCUUAUUCGCAGCUUCAGCAAGUCUUUAAGCAAGUGGGAAUUGUAGCCGUUGCAGGUGCUUUAUCACGCAACCUUGCAUAUCUGGAACAUGAGCAUCGAGGAAGCUUUUUAUCCAUAUAUGAUAAUCCAUCAGUUGUACUGCAGGACCCUAUCAUAGACCAGGUAAACCAUGCAGUACAGAAACUCACACACGCGACAAGUUUUAUGCAAUACUUGGGACAACACGCACUUAUCGUCCAAGACGACACACCCAGUGGAUCGGAGGAUAAUGUCGAUGAUGAGAGCUACCAUUUCAUGUCCCUGAUGCUUAACCUAGUGAACACAUUUCUUUACAUGGUGAACACAUAUAUCAUCGUCCCGACCGCAGACGACUACUCAGUGAGCCUUGGAGCUGCCGCCACAGUUUGUGGCAUAAUCAUUGGAUCGAUGGCGGUCGCUCAGGUGUUCUCUUCAGUUUAUUUCAGUGCCUGGUCGAAUAGGUCAUACUUCAGACCUCUAGUGUUCAGCAGCAUUAUGCUUUUCUCUGGGAACCUGCUGUAUGCAUUGGCAUAUGACCUGAACUCCCUGACAGUUCUCCUGAUUGGCCGGAUACUAUGCGGGUUGGGUUCUGCAAGAGCUGUGAACCGUAGGUAUAUCAGUGACUGCGUGCCUCUCAAGAUCAGGCUCCAAGCCUCUGCGGGGUUCGUCAGUGCUAGUGCUCUUGGAAUGGCAUGUGGCCCUGGCCUUGCUGGUUUUCUUCAGACAAAAUUUACGAUAUACUCGCUGACUUUUAACCAGAGCACAUUGCCUGGAUGGGUCAUGUCCAUUGCUUGGCUUCUUUACUUGGUGUGGCUAUGGUUUUCAUUCAAAGAGCCGGAACACUUCGCUAAGGCUGCAGCCGAGGCUGCGGCCAGAACAUCGCAGCCUUCUGAAUCUGGUCAUCAAGAAAGUGCUAAUUUGGAGGAAGGUCUAGCACAACCUCUGCUUCUAGGUUCAGAAGAGAGGUUGGAUGAUAAUUCGGAGGAUAAUGAUGAUGAAGAUGCUAAAAGUUCCCAUGAGCCAGCAACAUCCUUUGCUUCAGCAUAUAAAUUGCUGACACCCUCUGUGAAGGUCCAACUAUUGAUAUACUUUAUGCUCAAGUAUGCGAUGGAAAUUUUGCUCUCCGAAUCAAGUGUUGUCACCACAUACUAUUUUAACUGGGAUACAAGUGCUGUGGCCAUCUUUUUAGCGAUUCUUGGGUUGACUGUUCUUCCAGUAAAUGCCAUUGUUGGGAGCUACGUUACGAAUUGGUUUGAGGACAGGCAAAUUCUGUUGGCAUCUGAAAUCAUGGUUCUGAUUGGCAUUAUCAUGAGCUUCCGUUACACACCUCACUACUCCAUUCCACAGUACGUCUCUUCGGCUCUCAUCACGUUCGUAUUCGCAGAGGUGCUUGAAGGAGUAAACCUGUCCCUGCUUUCGCGGGUCAUGUCAUCGAGGCUGUCGCGAGGGACCUACAACGGCGGCCUCCUCUCAACGGAGGCCGGGACGCUGGCCCGUGUGGUCGCGGACGCGACAAUCACCGCAGCGGGCUACCUAGGCACGGACAUGCUCCUCAACGUCACCCUGCUGCCGCCUCUCGUGAUCACCAUCGUCUCCAUCGUCGCAACAUUCUGCACAUACAACACCCUCUACUGA
RNAcentral lists this ribosomal RNA (2103 nucleotides) under Triticum aestivum (bread wheat). Its description in RNAcentral is "partial small subunit ribosomal RNA". Lineage: Eukaryota; Viridiplantae; Streptophyta; Magnoliopsida; Poales; Poaceae. The record is from RNAcentral.